UUAAAUGGCCGCGGUAUCCUAACCGUGCGAAGGUAGCAUAAUCACUUGUCUACUAAAUAUAGACCUGUAUGAAUGGCAUCACGAGGGCUAUACUGUCUCCCCCAUUUAAUCAGUAAAACUGAUCUUCCCGUGAAGAAGCGGGAAUUUAACUAUAAGACGAGAAGACCCCAUGGAGCUUCAAACUAAGAGACAACUGCCAAAUUCAAUACCAUUAAAUACUGCACCCAUGACUCAAAGUUUUCGGUUGGGGCGACCGCGGAGCACAACAAAACCUCCUCGAUGAAAGAACAUGAAAUUCUCACCCUAGAGCCACACCACAAAGAACCACCAAUGUGACAUCCAUUGACCCAAAUAUUUGAUCAACGAACCUAGUUACCCUGGGGAUAACAGCGCAAUCCAUUUCUAGAGCCCAUAUCGACAAAUGGGUUUACGACCUCGA
Molecule: ribosomal RNA, 439 nt
Filed under: Breviceps mossambicus (Mozambique rain frog)
Lineage: Eukaryota; Metazoa; Chordata; Amphibia; Anura; Brevicipitidae
Description: partial 16S ribosomal RNA
Rfam family: Bacterial large subunit ribosomal RNA
Source: RNAcentral